AAUGGGCGGGACAAAGGGUCGCGAUCUUGCGAGGGUGAGCUAACUCCAAAAACCCGUCCUCAGUUCGGAUUGCAGGCUACAACUCGCCUGCAUGAAG
RNAcentral lists this non-coding RNA (97 nucleotides) under Triticum urartu. RNAcentral's name for it is "Bacterial small subunit ribosomal RNA". It matches the Rfam family "Bacterial small subunit ribosomal RNA", at positions 1229 to 1325 of the family's 1533-position model. Lineage: Eukaryota; Viridiplantae; Streptophyta; Magnoliopsida; Poales; Poaceae. The record is from Rfam by way of RNAcentral.